RNAcentral lists this ribosomal RNA (550 nucleotides) under uncultured archaeon. RNAcentral's name for it is "bacterial SSU rRNA". It matches the Rfam family "Archaeal small subunit ribosomal RNA", at positions 325 to 879 of the family's 1478-position model. The record is from RNAcentral.
ACGGGGUGCAGCAGGCGCGAAAACUCCGCAAUGGGCGAAAGCCCGACGGGGUUACCCCGAGUGCCACCCUCGUGGUGGCUUUUCCCCGCUGUAAGAAGGCGGGGGAAUAAGCGGGGGGCAAGUCUGGUGUCAGCCGCCGCGGUAAUACCCGCUCCCCGAGUGGUGGAGGCUAUUACUGGGCCUAAAGCGCCCGUAGCCGGCCCGGCAAGUCGCUCCUGAAAUCCCCGGGCUCAACCCGGGGGCGGGGGGCGAUACUGCCGGGCUUGGGGGUGGGAGAGGCGCCCGGUAUUCCCGGGGUAGGGGUAAAAUCCUCUGAUCCCGGGAGGACCAUCAGUGGCGAAGGCGGGGCGCCAGAACACGCCCGACGGUGAGGGGCGAAAGCUGGGGGAGCAAACGGGAUUAGAUACCCCGGUAGUCCCAGCUGUAAACGAUGCGGGCUAGCUGUCGGGGCGGCUACGGGCCGCCCCGGUGGCGAAGGGAAGCCAUUAAGCCCGCCGCCUGGGGAGUACGGCCGCAAGGCUGAAACUUAAAGGAAUUGGCGGGGGAGCAC